UACGGGGGGGGCAAGCGUUGUUCGGAAUUACUGGGCGUAAAGGGCUCGUAGGCGGCCAACUAAGUCCGACGUGAAAUCCCCAGGCUUAACCUGGGAACUGCGUCGGAUACUGGAUGGCUUGAAUCCGGGAGAGGGAUGCGGAAUUCCAGGUGUAGCGGUGAAAUGCGUAGAUAUCUGGAGGAACACCGGUGGCGAAGGCGGCAUCCUGGACCGGCAUUGACGCUGAUGAGCGAAAGCCAGGGGAGCAAACGGG
Molecule: ribosomal RNA, 253 nt
Filed under: uncultured bacterium
Lineage: Bacteria
Description: partial 16S ribosomal RNA
Rfam family: Bacterial small subunit ribosomal RNA
Source: RNAcentral